This 505-nucleotide ribosomal RNA is filed under the name uncultured bacterium. RNAcentral's name for it is "bacterial SSU rRNA". It matches the Rfam family "Bacterial small subunit ribosomal RNA", at positions 15 to 507 of the family's 1533-position model. The record is from RNAcentral.
GAUCAUGGCUCAGGAUGAACGCUAGCUACAGGCUUAACACAUGCAAGUCGAGGGGAAACGACAUCGAAAGCUUGCUUUCGAUGGGCGUCGACCGGCGCACGGGUGAGUAACGCGUAUCCAACCUGCCCACCACUUGGGGAUAACCUUGCGAAAGUAAGACUAAUACCCGAUGAUAUCUCUAGAAGACAUCUGAAAGGGAUUAAAGAUUUAUCGGUGAUGGAUGGGGAUGCGUCUGAUUAGCUUGUUGGCGGGGUAACGGCCCACCAAGGCGACGAUCAGUAGGGGUUCUGAGAGGAAGGUCCCCCACAUUGGAACUGAGACACGGUCCAAACUCCUACGGGAGGCAGCAGUGAGGAAUAUUGGUCAAUGGGCGAGAGCCUGAACCAGCCAAGUAGCGUGCAGGACGACGGCCCUAUGGGUUGUAAACUGCUUUUAUAAGGGAAUAAAGUGAGUCUCGUGAGACUUUUUGCAUGUACCUUAUGAAUAAGGACCGGCUAAUUCCGUG